AGUAACUAUCACAUCUAAUACUAUUCUAGUUCCAAGAGUGUCAUUUAUGUCAAAAUUGAUACCUAUGUAUUGUUUUUUUUUGGUCUUAUGUACUUUUACUUUUUUUAUCACUAAGUUGCUUUGGGAUAUCAUUGGUACUUAAAGAUCAGUUUCUUUUGUAGGCUUCAUGAACAGUUGACUGAGUCAGAACAGGCUGCCCAGUGUUACAUCAAAUAUAUCCAAGAUAUCUAUUCCUGUGGGGUAUGUAUCAUACCAUGAGAAUUGUACUGCUGAUAUUAUUACUGUCACCUCAGUAAUUUUGCUUUCCCUUUCUAGGAAAUAGUAGAACACUUGGAGGAAAGCACUGCCUUUCGCUAUCUGGCCCAGUACUAUUUUAAGUGCAAACUGUGGGAUGAAGCUUCAACUUGUGCACAAAAGUGUUGUGCAUUUAAUGAUACCCGGGAAGAAGGUAAGGCCUUACUCCGGCAAAU
Molecule: small RNA, 470 nt
Filed under: Pan troglodytes (chimpanzee)
Lineage: Eukaryota; Metazoa; Chordata; Mammalia; Primates; Hominidae
Description: retained intron
Source: RNAcentral